GAGAUAUCGAGUGUCGCGGUCGCGUCUUCGAUCUCCAGCGCCGUGAUUCCCGGCGGCAGGGUCGGGAUGAAGGAUGCAUCGAGAAUCGUGCAGCCGAAACCUGAUCGCACCAGUUGCAGCAGGACGGGGACGUCGUNNNAAUCGUCAGGGAGAGGCCACGGUCCGUCACCAAUUCAUCGAUCAGCGCGCGGAAACCGCGCCAUCGCCGGACGCUGCCGAUCACCAGCGGAGCGGUGGACAGGGUUCGCAGCGAGAUCGUACGGUUUGCUGCCC
RNAcentral lists this unclassified non-coding RNA (273 nucleotides) under Hevea brasiliensis (rubber tree). The record is from RNAcentral. Lineage: Eukaryota; Viridiplantae; Streptophyta; Magnoliopsida; Malpighiales; Euphorbiaceae.